RNAcentral lists this long non-coding RNA (1034 nucleotides) under Piliocolobus tephrosceles (Ugandan red Colobus). RNAcentral describes it as "lncRNA (ENSPTEG00000028304.1)". Lineage: Eukaryota; Metazoa; Chordata; Mammalia; Primates; Cercopithecidae. The record is from RNAcentral.
AAUUAAUAAAUAAAAUAACAAAACCUUUUUUUUUUAUGUUUAUAAAUGAGCAACAAAAAUUGAAAUAAUUUAAUCAGUUUUUAACAUUAAAAGCGCAAAAGUGAAAAAAAAAACAAACUAGCAAUCAAACAACACAUUAAUUAUACAUUUUAUAAAUUCAGAACCACUUUAGUAGAUAUACAAAAUGUGCAUGUAAUAAAAAUAUUAAAUGUCUUGUUAAAAAGAAAAAAAAAAAAAAAAAAGAAAAAAAAAUGGGAAAGUAAUAAAACUUUGGAAAAAAAAAAAAAAUAUAUGUAUAUAUAAUAUAUAUACAUUUAUUUAUGUACUGGUGUGUAUAAAACUAUGUAAAAGCGUAAAAUUAAAAAAAAAAAAAAAAAAAAAAAAAGGAUUAACCAUUAAAUUGUUGAUUCUUAUGUUAUAUUCAUGUGAUUUUUAACAUUUAAUUUUAUGUUACAUUUAAAGGGAAAAAAAAAAGAAAAAAAGAAUAAAUAAAUAGCUAAAUAAAUAUAAAAAAUAAAUCAUUAUAUAAUACAAAAGUAUAUUUUUAUGGUGUAUAUAAGGAAUAUAAGUUUUUAUAUAAAUAUAUAUAUAUAUACUAACAGUUAUUUUUAUCGCUUUUUUUUUUUUUUUUUUUUUUUUUUUUUUUUUUUUUUUUUUUUUUUUUUUUUUUUUUUUUUUUUUUUUUUUUUUGUCCUUUUAUCAUCAUAUGUACAUAUGUAUAUAAUUAAUUUCAAAUUUAUUGUUUUCUUAAAACAAAUUAUUUUAUGACUUUUAUUUUUACUUUUUUAAAUAAUCUUCGUUUUUAUUUUAUUUUAUUUUUUUUUUAUUAUAAAAAAAAAAUGCAAAUAUGUUAAAUUUAAUUUUUAAUUGUGUGUCACUGCUAUGUUCUGGAAACUUUGAUAUUUGUAUUAAGACAUAUAAAAUAAGUAAAAAAAAAUAUGUACUACAUGCGUACAUUUAUAUAUAUGUUCGUAUAUUACAUAACAUUAUAGUCAAAAAAUAAAGACAAAAAAAAUAAAAAAAAAAAAAAUAAA